GGGGAACGAUAACGGCGUCGAGCGGCGGACGGGUGAGUAAUGCCUAGGAAAUUGCCCUGAUGUGGGGGAUAACCAUUGGAAACGAUGGCUAAUACCGCAUAAUGCCUACGGGCCAAAGAGGGGGACCUUCGGGCCUCUCGCGUCAGGAUAUGCCUAGGUGGGAUUAGCUAGUUGGUGAGGUAAUGGCUCACCAAGGCGACGAUCCCUAGCUGGUCUGAGAGGAUGAUCAGCCACACUGGAACUGAGACACGGUCCAGACUCCUACGGGAGGCAGCAGUGGGGAAUAUUGCACAAUGGGCGCAAGCCUGAUGCAGCCAUGCCGCGUGUGUGAAGAAGGCCUUCGGGUUGUAAAGCACUUUCAGUCGUGAGGAAGGUGGUGUAGUUAAUAGCUGCAUUACUUGACGUUAGCGACAGAAGAAGCACCGGCUAACUCCGUGCCAGCAGCCGCGGUAAUACGGAGGGUGCGAGCGUUAAUCGGAAUUACUGGGCGU
Molecule: ribosomal RNA, 491 nt
Filed under: Vibrio owensii
Lineage: Bacteria; Pseudomonadati; Pseudomonadota; Gammaproteobacteria; Vibrionales; Vibrionaceae
Description: bacterial SSU rRNA
Rfam family: Bacterial small subunit ribosomal RNA
Source: RNAcentral